UGGGGAAUAUUGGACAAUGGGGGAAACCCUGAUCCAGCAAUGCCGCGUGUGUGAAGAAGGCCUUCGGGUUGUAAAGCACUUUCAAUAGGGAAGAAAAGUUUAGGGAUAAUACCCCUAGACCUUGACGUUACCUAUAGAAGAAGCACUGGCUAACUCUGUGCCAGCAGCCGCGGUAAUACAGAGAGUGCAAGCGUUAAUCGGAAUUACUGGGCGUAAAGCGCACGUAGGUGGAUAUUUAAGUCGGGUGUGAAAGCCCCAGGCUCAACCUGGGAACUGCGUCCGAUACUGGGUAUCUAGAGUAUGGUAGAGGGAAGUGGAAUUUCAGGUGUAGCGGUGAAAUGCGUAGAUAUCUGAAAGAACACCAGUGGCGAAGGCGGCUUCCUGGACCAAUACUGACACUGAGGUGCGAAAGCGUGGGGAGCAAACA
RNAcentral lists this ribosomal RNA (427 nucleotides) under uncultured Coxiella sp. RNAcentral's name for it is "bacterial SSU rRNA". It matches the Rfam family "Bacterial small subunit ribosomal RNA", at positions 355 to 774 of the family's 1533-position model. Lineage: Bacteria; Pseudomonadati; Pseudomonadota; Gammaproteobacteria; Legionellales; Coxiellaceae. The record is from RNAcentral.